ACGCUGACACCUACGGGAGGCAGCAGUGGGGAAUAUUGCACAAUGGGGGAAACCCUGAUGCAGCGACGCCGCGUGAGCGAAGAGUAUUACGUUAGUAGUAAGACUCUAGGUAACAGCAGGGAACGAAAACUAGACGGUACCUGCUAAAGAAGCGACCCGACGUAAAUACGUCGUACCAGCAGCCGCGGUAAGUCUAGGAGCGGGCUGGCAAGGC
Molecule: ribosomal RNA, 214 nt
Filed under: uncultured bacterium
Lineage: Bacteria
Description: partial 16S ribosomal RNA
Rfam family: Bacterial small subunit ribosomal RNA
Source: RNAcentral